RNAcentral lists this ribosomal RNA (497 nucleotides) under uncultured bacterium. RNAcentral's name for it is "partial 16S ribosomal RNA". It matches the Rfam family "Bacterial small subunit ribosomal RNA", at positions 28 to 507 of the family's 1533-position model. The record is from RNAcentral.
GAUGAACGCUGGCGGCGUGCCUAAUACAUGCAAGUCGAGCGAACAGAUGAGGAGCUUGCUCCUCUGUCGUUAGCGGCGGACGGGUGAGUAACACGUGGAUAACCUACCUAUAAGACUGGGAUAACUUCGGGAAACCGGAGCUAAUACCGGAUAAUAUAUUGAACCGCAUGGUUCAUUGGUGAAAGACGGUUUUGCUGUUCCUUAUAGGUUGAUCCGCGCCGCAUUAGCUUGUUGGUAAGGUAACGGCUUACCAAGGCAACGAUGCGUAGCCGACCUGAGAGGGUGAUCGGCCACACUGGAACUGAGACACGGUCCAGACUCCUACGGGAGGCAGCAGUAGGGAAUCUUCCGCAAUGGGCGAAAGCCUGACGGAGCAACGCCGCGUGAGUGAUGAAGGUCUUCGGAUCGUAAAACUCUGUUAUUAGGGAAGAACAAAUGUGUAAGUAACUAGGGACGUCUUGACGGUACCUAAUGAGAAAGCCACGGCUAACUACGUG